Mercenaria mercenaria is the source of this 379-nucleotide long non-coding RNA. RefSeq lists it as uncharacterized. The record is from RefSeq and is a predicted model, not a curated record. The transcript is spliced from 3 exons. Lineage: Eukaryota; Metazoa; Mollusca; Bivalvia; Venerida; Veneridae.
AAUGGAUCCGUCCAAUUAAGCGCAUCAGGUCAUAAAUCCCCCCGCUGUCACGACGAAGUGACUUUCAAUUGGAUUAGUGCGAGAGAACAUACAGGCUCUGAUUAAGGACUUUAUUCAGGUAUGUCGGUUCAUAAAGAGGCCUGAUGUCGGGACGGUGAAGGCACGUCUACAAGAUAAUGUGGUGUAAACAGAUGGUAAUCGUAAUUUCCGGACACAGAUGCGACUUGCAAGGGUCAAAAUCUUUAAAUUAUGAUCUCUAUGUGCAUGCGAAUAUCUUCAGCCGACUUGUGAAAUGUCCAAACAGCUCCAACUGCUACCUAAGAUGAUAACACGGACGAUAAAGGAAUGAAGGGUUAGUUGACUUUUAAAUUAAAUUUUG